GCCAUUUCUAUAUUGUACCACAAGAGUUUUGUUCAUAUUUAAGUCUAAAAACUGAGCCUCACAAUAUUUAUACAUUUUAGAAAUUGCGUCCGAAGCUUCCGCAGAAGUAGUGUGUAGGUCUUUACCUAUUGCUAUACAAGAUGUAUCAUCAGCAAAUUGACAGGCAGCGGCCCCAAUAUGGAUCCUUGAGGAACACCUUUUGAAAUGGUUAUUGGCUCAGACAACACAUUCAAGAUAGCGCCAUUACUGUUAUAAGUGAAACGAACUCUUUGAGACCUGUCGGAUAAAUAAGAUCGGAAAAGUUCUAAUGCAAUGCCUCUGACACCAAUAUUGAACAACUUGGUUAAUAAUAUUUCAUGAUCAAGUGUGUCAAAUGCUUUAGUAAGGUCAAAAUAAAUACCGAUGACUGAUU
Molecule: long non-coding RNA, 412 nt
Organism: Tribolium castaneum (red flour beetle)
Lineage: Eukaryota; Metazoa; Arthropoda; Insecta; Coleoptera; Tenebrionidae
Exons: 2
Source: RefSeq, a predicted model, not a curated record